This is a long non-coding RNA of Populus trichocarpa (black cottonwood), 335 nucleotides long. RefSeq lists it as uncharacterized. Lineage: Eukaryota; Viridiplantae; Streptophyta; Magnoliopsida; Malpighiales; Salicaceae. The transcript is spliced from 2 exons. The record is from RefSeq and is a predicted model, not a curated record.
ACUCCUAACGAUCCUCAAUAGGAUUUUCGGGUCUUUCGUCUGACAUUCCUUUUAGUUCUAUAUUUUCCGGGUUCUUAGUUUCUGAUAGUAGGUGAACUUUGUUGAGUGUUCCUGCUUCUUCAGUUUUGGGUCGGUAUGCCUUGCUUAUCUUUCAAGGCUGUUUGAUUCAAUGUCUUAGGCGCUCCACUAUUACCUUGUUUUGAUUAAGUUUGGAUUUUGACAAUGUAAUGAGUAUUAUGGAUUAUUGUUUUUGUUUUAAUUACUGAUGAGGAGUUUUAAACUAUCUUUUGGUUUCAUCAGUUUUGAAUAAUAUAAGAUUUCUGAAGAUUAUGAAA